GCAUAUCAAUAAGCGGAGGAAAAGAAACUAACAAGGAUUCCCUUAGUAACGGCGAGUGAAGAGGGAAGAGCUCAAAUUUUAAAUCUAUCAUGUUGUACAUGAUCGAGUUGUAAUUUGAAGAAGCGUUUUCUCGUACUUUAUGAUCAGUAUAAGUUCUCUUGGAACAGGACAUCAUAGAGGGUGAUAAUCCCGUCUGUUACUGAUUGUGAGGUUCGUUUAUGAUACGCUUUCAAAGAGUCGAGUUGUUUGGGAUUGCAGCUCCAAAUGGGUGGUAAACAUCACCUAAGGCUAAAUAUUUGCGAGAGACCGAUAGCGAACAAGUACCGUGAGGGAAAGAUGAAAAGAACUUUGAAAAGAGAGUUAAAAAGUAUGUGAAAUUGUUGAAAGGGAAACGAUUGAAGUCAGUCGUGCAGUUAUNAAUUCAGCGGUUAACAUUUUAUGUUUCCGUGUAAUUUGGUGUCUGUUGGUUAGCAUCAAUUUUGAUUGUUAUAAAAAGGUUAAGGGGAUGUGGCUCCUUCGGGAGUGUUAUAACCCUUAGCGUAAUGUGACGAUUAGGAUUGAGGUUUGCAACGAAUACCUUUUAGGGCAGUUUCACCUGGCCUCUCGUGGAAUUAUAGAUAGUUAAGAGCAUGCUCUUACUGUUUAUGAUUCUACGAAAAGGUUGGAGUGUAAAACUAAUUCGUUAAGGAUGUUGACGUA
RNAcentral lists this ribosomal RNA (699 nucleotides) under uncultured Glomerales. RNAcentral describes it as "LSU rRNA". It matches the Rfam family "Eukaryotic large subunit ribosomal RNA", at positions 38 to 633 of the family's 3401-position model. Lineage: Eukaryota; Fungi; Glomeromycota; Glomeromycetes; Glomerales; Glomeraceae. The record is from RNAcentral.